RNAcentral lists this long non-coding RNA (318 nucleotides) under Nicotiana benthamiana. RNAcentral describes it as "long non-coding RNA (NBEN_LNC001867)". Lineage: Eukaryota; Viridiplantae; Streptophyta; Magnoliopsida; Solanales; Solanaceae. The record is from RNAcentral.
GUUAAAUGUAUCCAUAAUAUUACUAGUAAAGAAUUUCAAAAUUUACAAGAUUUAGAAAAUAAUAUGACUGAGAACCCUCUAUCUUCUCCGAUUAUGUGAUAAACCCUUGUAUAUUCCUUUUUGUGCGAAAUUUGGUCUUUUACUCACUCGAAUGUGAUGAACAGGCCUAAAGUCAUUACUAUUCCCAAUUUUGAGCCUUUUCUUUGGGUGGAUAGAAUCAUUAAGAACCUGCACUUGCAUUCGAUGACUCUUUGGCCUCAAAGAUUUUCUCAUAUUCUCUUUCCUAUGCUCCCUAAUCGAUCUUCUUCUUCUUCUCCC